Molecule: long non-coding RNA, 826 nt
Organism: Poecilia latipinna (sailfin molly)
Lineage: Eukaryota; Metazoa; Chordata; Actinopteri; Cyprinodontiformes; Poeciliidae
Exons: 2
Source: RefSeq, a predicted model, not a curated record
CAAACUUCUGACCAAUCGCAACACGGCGUACUGAGCUCCUGACUCUGUGACGUAGCUCUGCUUCGCUGUAGCUUAGCUCCAAUGUGUUUCCAAGGUGAUCAAUCUUCAUUUUACAGUUUUUUUGCACAGUAAAGCUCAUGUGCACUUCUGUUUUUCCGGGAAUUUGGUAAAAACCAAAAAGUCCAAAUGUUUCCCUUAAACGGAGACGGGACCGGCUGAAUCUCUGAUUUUUGCAGUUUCCUCCGCGCAUGCGUUCCGUCUCCAUGGCGACGUGAGAACGUUGCCUCAGACAGCGGAUUUAUUUCACUGUAAAAAUUUCUACACUGAUUUUAGGACGUUUUUAAUCGAUUCUGAAUGAACGUAGAGUUGAACUCGUGUCUGUGUUUGUCCUGCCUUCGUUUUGAAAGCUGCUGACAGCUGUUAUUUGUAUUUCUCGUUCGCGCUGCCCUCAGAUGUCGUCCUCGAUGUCCAAAUGUCGGGUUGACGGCUGCAAAAUACAGAGGAACUGGGUAAUUACUGGCUGUGCACUGACAGAAGAGGAUUUGUCGAGCACUCGCUCCAGAACUAAUGGCACCCUGAGUGCCGCUUCGCCUCUCAGCACCUCUUUCCUGUUUCAAAAACUCUGAAUUCCCAGAACGUUCCCGUUGCGUUUUCUCAUGUGGGAAAUUGGCUUCAGUGAGACCCGGAACACAAACAACCGUCCGGAGGAGCCAAUCCCCAGAGAGCACUUCCUGUUCCUCCAGAGCAGGGCGGACAUGUUGCCGGAACGGUCCUGAGGGAAAACCCGGACAGGCCACAUGCUUUAAUAAAGCAUCUGGAUCAUUUA